AUGAGUCUGGCUAAUGGUUUGUCAAUUUUAUUUAUCCUUUCAAAGAACCAGCUUUUGGCUUUGUUGAUUUUUGCUAUGAUAGAACUACCUUAUGACCCAGCAAUCCCACUUCUGGGCAUACACACCGAGGAAACCAGAAUUGAAAGAGAUACAUGUACCCCAACGUUCAUCGCAGCACUGUUUAUAAUAGCCAGGACAUGGAAACAACCUAGUUGUCCAUCAGCAGGUGAAUGGAUAAGAAAGCUGUGGUACAUACACACAAUGGAGUAUUACUUAGCCAUUAAAAAGAAUACAUUUGAAUCAAUUCUAAUGAGAUGGAUGAAACUGGAGCUGAUUAUACAGAGUGAAGUAAGCCAGAAAGAAAAACACCAAUACAGUAUACUAACACAUAUAUAUGGAAUUUAGAAAGAUGGUAAUGAUAACCCUGUAUGCGAGACAGCAAAAGAGACCCAGAUGUGUAGAGCGAACUUUUGGACUGUGAGGGAGAGGGAGAGGGUGGGAUGAUUUGGGAGAAUGGCAUUGAAACAUGUAUGCUAAGUCAAUUCAGUCAUGUCCGACUCUGUGUGACCCCAUAGACAGAAGCCCACCAGAUUCCUCCAUCCCUGGGAUUCUCCAGGCAAGAACACUGAAGUGGGUUGCCAUUUCCUUCUCCAAUGCAUGAAAGUGAAAAGUGAAAGGGAAGUCACUCAGUCGUGUCUGACUCUUUGCGACCCCAUGGACUGCAGCCUACCAGACUCUUCCAUCCAUGGGAUUUUCCAGGCAAGAAUACUGGAGUGGGGUGCCAUUGCCUUCUCUGUGAAACCUGUAUACCAUCAUGUAAGAAAUGAAUCAGCAGUCUAAGUUCGAUACAGGAUACAGGAUGCUUGGGGCUGGUGCAUGGGGAUGAUCCAGAGAGAUGAUAUGCGGCGGGAGGUGGGAAGAGGGUUCAUGAUUGGAAACUCAUGUACACCCAUGGCAGAUUCAUGUCAAUGUAUGGCAAAACCAAUACAGUAUUGUAAAGUAAAAUAAAGUAAAAAAAAAAAUAAAAUAAAGUAAAAAUAAAAAAAAUAAGAAACUAAGUAACAUUUAAAAAAAAAAAAAAAAACCUCCCUCACCACGAUGAGUCUCCAUCCUUAACUCUUUUGUCUCUCUUUUCACCUUUUAUAUUUUCUUCUACCUCCUUUCGAAGACAAUGGGCUGCCUUUCUGGGUGUCUGGUGUCCUCUGCCAGUGUUCAAAGGUUGUUUUGUGGGAUUUGCUCAGCAUUCAAGUGAUCUUUCGAUGAAUUUGUUGGGGAGAAAGUGGUCUCCCCAUCCUAUUCCUCCAUCAUCUUAGGACCGCCCCUCCUGCAGGUGGGUUCUUUACCACUAGCGCCAUCAGAGAAGUCCUACUGAAGAUCUUUAUAUAAUUUGUAUUUUGUAUAUAUUGGUGAUUCAAAUUUAAAAC
Molecule: long non-coding RNA, 1424 nt
Filed under: Ovis aries (sheep)
Lineage: Eukaryota; Metazoa; Chordata; Mammalia; Artiodactyla; Bovidae
Description: lncRNA (ENSOARG00000026273.1)
Source: RNAcentral